Molecule: non-coding RNA, 74 nt
Organism: Picea glauca (white spruce)
Lineage: Eukaryota; Viridiplantae; Streptophyta; Pinopsida; Pinales; Pinaceae
Source: Rfam
GGUUCUGUGGUGUAGUCGGUUAUCACGUCAGCCUUACACACUGGAGGUCCCCUGUUCGAACCUGGGAAGGACCA